GCGAAGUUGCUCCAGUCCAGCAGGGGGCGGAAAGAGCGUCAUAUGUUGCUGCGUCUCUCGCGCAAAGCGCACGACGGAAGUAGAGUUUUCUUUCUGCUGCUGCGUGAAUAACGUAUUUCAGAUGUUGAGCAUGAAAGCGCAGGUGGAUGUGGUCUGCUGUAAAUCAGUAGGAACUGAUCUGUCCAUGCUGGAUAUUGAGGAUUUCAUCACAGAAAUCUGUCAGCUGAAGAAAGAGGUGGCUUCACUGGAGACAAAGCUGAGAGAAAGAGGAGACAAACUGAACAGAGAGGAUGUGGAGCAGGUUUCAGUGCGUGUGACUGAUGGGACAGAAGCUCAGGAUUCAGUCUGGAGCGUCAGAGAUCAGAGAUCCCAGAGACACACAGGACUCAGAGCUCAGCCUCACUUUACUCUGUUAUACUGACGCUCAGGAUCAUGAAUCCACUGAUCAAACCUCUGACUGUAACACUGGAGAACAGCAGAUGCUGCAGACGCCGCUGAAGAUGUGCUCCGUCAAACUGGUGGACUGCAGGAACCUGAUCGAGAGCAGAGGAGAAGAAACCACCGCAGAGAAAGAACUACAACACACUGAUGAGAAA
Cyprinus carpio (common carp) is the source of this 596-nucleotide long non-coding RNA. RefSeq lists it as uncharacterized. Lineage: Eukaryota; Metazoa; Chordata; Actinopteri; Cypriniformes; Cyprinidae. The transcript is spliced from 3 exons. The record is from RefSeq and is a predicted model, not a curated record.